GUUGUUUCAUGAAGACGGCUCCAGUUCAUAAAUCCUUUUAGAGUACAUGGACAUCACAGAGAAGAGUGUUCUGCUACGCACUGUCAUGAGACAGAAUGGAGAGCUAAUGCUCUCCUUAGGAUAUGUAAGAUGAGCUGUGAUUGGUUGCUGGGAGCAAAUUAGUCGGUUCUGUGUCCCUGAUGAUGUGAAGAGGUGCCGGCACAGCGCAGAAGGACGUCACCCUUCAAGGUGGCCCUCCGAGUCCCGCUGAACGGGAUAGACACAGGCCUGAUCCGUGAAUGCGGAGGACUACGUCAGAUUCGGCGGUUUGCAAUGAUGAACAUUUUUUUAAAUGUCAAUAAAAGGAUAAACGAGG
Hyla sarda is the source of this 355-nucleotide long non-coding RNA. RefSeq lists it as uncharacterized. The transcript is spliced from 3 exons. NCBI's taxonomy places the organism in Eukaryota, Metazoa, Chordata, Amphibia, Anura, Hylidae. The record is from RefSeq and is a predicted model, not a curated record.